CCUACGGGAGGCAGCAGUGGGGAAUCUUGCGCAAUGGGCGAAAGCCUGACGCAGCCAUGCCGCGUGAAUGAUGAAGGUCUUAGGAUUGUAAAAUUCUUUCACCGGGGACGAUAAUGACGGUACCCGGAGAAGAAGCCCCGGCUAACUUCGUGCCAGCAGCCGCGGUAAUACGAAGGGGGCUAGCGUUGCUCGGAAUUACUGGGCGUAAAGGGAGCGUAGGCGGAUAGUUUAGUCAGAGGUGAAAGCCCAGGGCUCAACCUUGGAAUUGCCUUUGAUACUGGCUAUCUUGAGUACGGAAGAGGUAUGUGGAACUCCGAGUGUAGAGGUGAAAUUCGUAGAUAUUCGGAAGAACACCAGUGGCGAAGGCGACAUACUGGUCCGUUACUGACGCUGAGGCUCGAAAGCGUGGGGAGCAAACAGGAUUAGAUACCCUGGUAGUCCACGCUGUAAACGAUGAGUGNUAGUUGUCGGCGAGCGAUGCUCGUCGGUGACGCNGCUACGACAUAAGACACUCCGCCGUCGGGAGGUACGGUCGCGAGAGUAAACUAACUAAGAAGUUAGUUAGCGUUGAGAGNGCCGACGGACGACGACGAGGGAGGAGG
Molecule: ribosomal RNA, 602 nt
Filed under: uncultured bacterium
Lineage: Bacteria
Description: bacterial SSU rRNA
Rfam family: Bacterial small subunit ribosomal RNA (bases 1-518)
Source: RNAcentral